AUUGAACGCUGGCGGCAGGCCUAACACAUGCAAGUCGAGCGGAUGGAGGGAGCUUGCUCCUGGAUUCAGCGGCGGACGGGUGAGUAAUGCCUAGGAAUCUGCCUGGUAGUGGGGGAUAGCGUCCGGAAACGGGCGCUAAUACCGCAUACGUCCUGAGGGAGAAAGUGGGGGAUCUUCGGACCUCACGCUAUCAGAUGAGCCUAGGUCGGAUUAGCUAGUUGGUGGGGUAAAGGCCUACCAAGGCGACGAUCCGUAACUGGUCUGAGAGGAUGAUCAGUCACACUGGAACUGAGACACGGUCCAGACUCCUACGGGAGGCAGCAGUGGGGAAUAUUGGACAAUGGGCGAAAGCCUGAUCCAGCCAUGCCGCGUGUGUGAAGAAGGUCUUCGGAUUGUAAAGCACUUUAAGUUGGGAGGAAGGGCAGUAAGUUAAUACCUUGCUGUUUUGACGUUACCAACAGAAUAAGCACCGGCUAACUUCGUG
This 484-nucleotide ribosomal RNA is filed under the name uncultured bacterium. RNAcentral's name for it is "partial 16S ribosomal RNA". It matches the Rfam family "Bacterial small subunit ribosomal RNA", at positions 30 to 507 of the family's 1533-position model. The record is from RNAcentral.